GUAAUACAGCACAGCCGAUCCUUCGCUCAACCCAACCUCUGCCAUGAAGGUUUGCCGGGACACUCCAUACACAUUAGAUGGUCGCAGACAUUCCUCUAAUAUGUACUGGCAGCUUAACUUUUAAAGCCUGGUUUGGGAAUCUUCUGGUUGUAUCCAAGCCUGCCGGAAAAUCAGCAAGUCAGAAUAAAUGAGCAAUAAUAAUCCAGGUGUGAUGGCGGCGUGGACCGCCAGCUGCAGUGCACGCACCCAGGAUCACAUGCUCUGCUCUUUGAUCUCUUUUUUUGUGAUAAAAUAUCCCGGGCCACAUGUGCUGCUGAAGACACCUGCUCCACAAGCCCAUAAAAUCUGUGCGGCUAUUGUUGUGCGGCUUCAAAGAACCACGCAGAUAAGGUUUGCCCAGUUUGAACAUGUCUGGGUGCAGAACUAAGAGGAAGGAGGAAAUACCUGAUGAUUCACAGUGGCUCAUGGGAUACAUGCUGUCUAAAUAAAGCUUGGGAACCACAACUCCCAGCAUGUCCGCACAGACACUACUGUGUAUCCAGGGAUGCAGACUUCUUCAUGCCGUGAGUUUGGCCUCUUGCCCACAAACGUAUUUUCUUUCCGUGUCCGUUCCGUUUUUUUGCUUCAAUGGGUCCGCAAAAGAAAGUGAAGUUACUCCGUUUGCAUUCCGUUUUCGUAUUUCCGUUCCGCAAAAAAAUGGAACA
This is a long non-coding RNA of Bufo bufo (common toad), 704 nucleotides long. RefSeq lists it as uncharacterized. Lineage: Eukaryota; Metazoa; Chordata; Amphibia; Anura; Bufonidae. The transcript has 3 exons. The record is from RefSeq and is a predicted model, not a curated record.